This 76-nucleotide transfer RNA is filed under the name Patescibacteria group bacterium. Its description in RNAcentral is "tRNA-Ala". It matches the Rfam family "tRNA". From Rfam's summary of the family: Transfer RNA (tRNA) molecules are approximately 80 nucleotides in length. RNAcentral also lists the same sequence under 4 other names. The record is from RNAcentral.
GGGCCCUUAGCUUAGUUGGUAGAGCGCCUCGUUUGCAACGAGGAGGUCAUCGGUUCGAAUCCGAUAGGGUCCACCA